RNAcentral lists this ribosomal RNA (253 nucleotides) under uncultured bacterium. RNAcentral describes it as "partial 16S ribosomal RNA". It matches the Rfam family "Bacterial small subunit ribosomal RNA", at positions 524 to 776 of the family's 1533-position model. The record is from RNAcentral.
GACGAACCGUGCGAACGUUGUUCGGAUUCACUGGGCUUAAAGGGUGCGUAGGCGGGUGAUCAAGUCCGGGGUGAAAUCCUCCAGCUUAACUGGAGAAUAGCCCUGGAUACUGGUUGUCUUGAGGAAGGUAGGGGCAUGUGGAACUUCCGGUGGAGCGGUGAAAUGCGUAGAUAUCGGAAGGAACGCCGGUGGCGAAAGCGACGUGCUGGACCUUUUCUGACGCUGAGGCACGAAAGCCAGGGGAGCAAACGGG